Molecule: long non-coding RNA, 410 nt
Organism: Felis catus (domestic cat)
Lineage: Eukaryota; Metazoa; Chordata; Mammalia; Carnivora; Felidae
Exons: 2
Source: RefSeq, a predicted model, not a curated record
UCUGGGAACACACAGUUCCUCAGGCGGCGGCUUAGCACCCAGACAGGACCUUUGUGCUCAUUAAGAACGAAGGCCUCCAGGCUCCAGCAGCUCUGAACAAGCAGAGCAGAGAGGCUGGAUUCCAGCGCCGACCCACUCAGCGGGGUGGCCUUGUGCCGGAGAGGUACUGCUCCAAGACAGCCCUGCUGACCCAUGGGUGGACAAGAUAUAUUUCCUCCCAAGGAGCUGACAGUCUGUGCAAUUCAACAAUCAAGGAAACCCGCAUAGUUGACCUGGAUAUAAAUGCCUGGACAUUCUACUAUCGUCGUUUCCAGGACAGGAACCCCCACCGUGUAUGAUGGAUGAGACCAGGAGAUGGUGAGGAUCCCAUCCAAGGAUAAGAUUCAAAGAUUAAAAAUCUCUAAAUUUCA